RNAcentral lists this ribosomal RNA (584 nucleotides) under uncultured eukaryote. Its description in RNAcentral is "bacterial SSU rRNA". It matches the Rfam family "Eukaryotic small subunit ribosomal RNA", at positions 53 to 612 of the family's 1831-position model. The record is from RNAcentral.
GCAAGUCCAAGUACACGUCCUUGAACGACGGAAACUGCGAACGGCUCAUUAAAUCAGUUGCGAUCUACUCGGCGUUCCGCGCCGCCGGAUAACCGUAGUAAUUCUAGGGCUAAUACGUGCGAAGCGCCCCGAAGCCGCGAGGCGACGGGCGUUCUCGCCGGAUGUAGGAACCGACCCGGGGACCGCCGGGGGCAACCCCGGCGCCCCCCGAGACGGGGCGAACCACGGUGAAAUGACGGAUCGUCGGCCCCGCGCCGGCGACUCGCCGAAUGAGUUUCUGACCUAUCAACUCGAGACGGCGGGGUAGAGGCCCGCCGCGGUAACGACGGGUAACGGGGAAUCAGGGUUCGAUUCCGGAGAGGGAGCCCGAGAAACGGCUACCACUUCCAAGGAAGGCAGCAGGCGCGCAACUUACCCCUAAUCUCGAUUCGAGGAGGUAGUGACAAGAAAUACCGAUGCGGGACCCUACGGGUGCCGCGUUCGGAAUGAGUACGAUUCGAACCACCUAACGAGGAACGAUCGGAGGGCAAGUCUGGUGCCAGCAGCCGCGGUAAUUCCAGCUCCAAUAGCGUACGUUAAAGUUG